UCGAGGAUCUUCGGCAAUGGGCGCAAGCCUGACCGAGCGACGCCGCGUGUGCGAUGAAGGCCUUCGGGUUGUAAAGCACUGUCGGGGGGAAGAAAAGCCGCAAAGCUUGAUCGACCCCCGGAGGAAGCACGGGCUAAGUUCGUGCCAGCAGCCGCGGUAAGACGAACCGUGCAAACGUUAUUCGGAAUCACUGGGCUUAAAGGGCGCGUAGGCGGGCUCGCCAGUCAGGGGUGAAAGCCUCCAGCUCAACUGGAGAAGUGCCUUUGAUACUGCGAGUCUCGAGGGAGGUAGGGGCGUGCGGAACUUCCGGUGGAGCGGUGAAAUGCGUAGAUAUCGGAAGGAACACCGGUGGCGAAAGCGGCGCGCUGGACCUCUUCUGACGCUGAGGCGCGAAAGCCAGGGGAGCAAACG
Molecule: ribosomal RNA, 411 nt
Filed under: uncultured Planctomycetaceae bacterium
Lineage: Bacteria; Pseudomonadati; Planctomycetota; Planctomycetia; Planctomycetales; Planctomycetaceae
Description: partial 16S ribosomal RNA
Rfam family: Bacterial small subunit ribosomal RNA
Source: RNAcentral